This 1016-nucleotide long non-coding RNA is filed under the name Carica papaya (papaya). RNAcentral describes it as "long non-coding RNA (CPAP_LNC015240)". The record is from RNAcentral. Lineage: Eukaryota; Viridiplantae; Streptophyta; Magnoliopsida; Brassicales; Caricaceae.
CAUUCGCAGAAGCAGAAUAUUAAUCCAUGGCAAUGACAACAUGUGAACUUAAAUGGUUGAAGGGACUUCUAUCCAGUCUUGGUGUAGCACAUAAUUCUCCCAUGCAACUUCACUGUGAUAGUCAAGCUGCAUUACAUAUAGUCAAGAAUCCAAUUUUUCAUGAACGAACAAAACACAUUAAAGUUGAUUGUCAUCUUAUUCGUGAUGCAAUUGUCAAUGGCAGCAUACAUCCUAGCUAUGUUCCCUCCCAUGCUCAACUCGCUGAUAUCUUUACCAAAGCUUUGGGCCAAGUGCAGUAUGAUCAACUCUUAUGCAAGUUGGGCAUUCGGAAUCUUCAUGCACCAACUUGAGAGGGGUAUUGGAUACUAAAUAUAGGAAGUUAUAAAUAUAGUAAAUAAUAUAUGUUGUGUAUAAGAUUCAUUGUAGGAAUUAUAGGCUUAAUCUCAAGAUUUUUUAUUAGAAAGGUAGGGUUUCUUUUGGUUCACACUCUUAUAUAUAUUGAUGAGUUUUGCAAUGAUAAAGGGGGGACCUUCUCUCAACUUUUACCUAUUAUAUUCUUUGUUUUUAGCAAAAAUAAAUAAGAACAAGACUAAUAUAUUUUGUUAAGGAACUCCAAAACAGAAUUUCAUAAACAUUCUUUUUUCAACCUUAACUUACCUCUCAAAAUAAAAUUCUCAAACAAACUCCCAACCACACUGUAAUUCCCAUAAGAAUAUAUAUAUAUAUAUAAUACCUCUCUUCCAUUUCGAAGCUUGAACCUAUUCUCAACACUGUUCUCGUCUAUUUCUGUCUUCUUCUUAACCGCAGUAGACGAAAUCGGAGCUUCCACCCCUUGUUUGGUAAGAGCGACACCAUCAAGAAAUCCACGGACCUCUCCUUCUUCCUCUGCCUUUCUUGUGAGACCUUCUCUGGCAUCUGUAACUGAGCUUUGUGGAGAAACGAUGUCGGGAAACGCAACCUGGAGGUCUUGUUGAGCAACUCGAGAGAUGAAUUUCAACGGGCCGCCAUUGCUGUAA